Otolemur garnettii (small-eared galago) is the source of this 107-nucleotide small nuclear RNA. Lineage: Eukaryota; Metazoa; Chordata; Mammalia; Primates; Galagidae. The record is from Ensembl.
GUGCUCGCUUCGGCAGCACAGAUACUAAAAUUGGAACAAUACACAGAAGAUUAGCAUGGCCCCUGUGCAAGGAUGACACCCAAAUUCAUGAAGCGUUCCAUAUUUUU